CAGGCUUAACACAUGCAAGUCGAGGGGCAGCAUGGUCUUAGCUUGCUAAGGCCGAUGGCGACCGGCGCACGGGUGAGUAACACGUAUCCAACCUGCCGUCUACUCUUGGACAGCCUUCUGAAAGGAAGAUUAAUACAAGAUGGCAUCAUGAGUCCGCAUGUUCACAUGAUUAAAGGUAUUCCGGUAGACGAUGGGGAUGCGUUCCAUUAGAUAGUAGGCGGGGUAACGGCCCACCUAGUCUUCGAUGGAUAGGGGUUCUGAGAGGAAGGUCCCCCACAUUGGAACUGAGACACGGUCCAAACUCCUACGGGAGGCAGCAGUGAGGAAUAUUGGUCAAUGGGCGAGAGCCUGAACCAGCCAAGUAGCGUGAAGGAUGACUGCCCUAUGGGUUGUAAACUUCUUUUAUAAAGGAAUAAAGUCGGGUAUGGAUACCCGUUUGCAUGUACUUUAUGAAUAAGGAUCGGCUAACUCCGUGCCAGCAGCCGCGGUAAUACGGAGGAUCCGAGCGUUAUCCGGAUUUAUUGGGUUUAAAGGGAGCGUAGAUGGAUGUUUAAGUCAGUUGUGAAAGUUUGCGGCUCAACCGUAAAAUUGCAGUUGAUACUGGAUAUCUUGAGUGCAGUUGAGGCAGGCGGAAUUCGUGGUGUAGCGGUGAAAUGCUUAGAUAUCACGAAGAACUCCGAUUGCGAAGGCAGCCUGCUAAGCUGCAACUGACAUUGAGGCUCGAAAGUGUGGGUAUCAAACAGGAUUAGAUACCCUGGUAGUCCACACGGUAAACGAUGAAUACUCGCUGUUUGCGAUAUACGGCAAGCGGCCAAGCGAAAGCGUUAAGUAUUCCACCUGGGGAGUACGCCGGCAACGGUGAAACUCAAAGGAAUUGACGGGGGCCCGCACAAGCGGAGGAACAUGUGGUUUAAUUCGAUGAUACGCGAGGAACCUUACCCGGGCUUAAAUUGCAGAUGAAUUACGGUGAAAGCCGUAAGCCGCAAGGCAUCUGUGAAGGUGCUGCAUGGUUGUCGUCAGCUCGUGCCGUGAGGUGUCGGCUUAAGUGCCAUAACGAGCGCAACCCUUGUUGUCAGUUACUAACAGGUUCUGCUGAGGACUCUGACAAGACUGCCAUCGUAAGAUGUGAGGAAGGUGGGGAUGACGUCAAAUCAGCACGGCCCUUACGUCCGGGGCUACACACGUGUUACAAUGGGGGGUACAGAGGGCCGCUACCACGCGAGUGGAUGCCAAUCCCCAAAACCUCUCUCAGUUCGGACUGGAGUCUGCAACCCGACUCCACGAAGCUGGAUUCGCUAGUAAUCGCGCAUCAGCCACGGCGCGGUGAAUACGUUCCCGGGCCUUGUACACACCGCCCGUCAAGCCAUGGGAGCCGGGGGUACCUGAAGUGCGUAACCGCGAGGAGCGCCCUAGGGUAAAACUGGUGACUGGGG
RNAcentral lists this ribosomal RNA (1433 nucleotides) under uncultured organism. RNAcentral describes it as "16S ribosomal RNA". It matches the Rfam family "Bacterial small subunit ribosomal RNA". The record is from RNAcentral.